GCCGUGUCACAAUGGCUCAUCUGAAAUGCCUGAGUGCAUCCUGGAUAUGUGAUGUGUUCGGUGUGAUAAACUUUCACCGUCUCUGACCCUAGUGGUCACACUCACCUGACCAAGGCUCUGUGCUUCCAACCGUCUUGAUUGGACAAUUUUGACAAUUUGACCUCAAAUCGGGUGGGAUUACCCGCUGAACUUAAGCAUAUCAAUAAGCGGAGGAAAAGAAACUAACAAGGAUUCCCCUAGUAACGGCGAGUGAAGAGGGAAAAGCUCAAAUUUUGAAUCUGGUGCCCUUGGGUAACAGAGUUGUAAUCUAGAGAAGUGUUUUCUGUGUCGGACCAUGCACAAGUCCCCUGGAAUGGGGUGUCAUAGAGGGUGAGAAUCCCGUACAUGGCAUGGACCCUGAUGCUCUGUGAUACACUCUCAACGAGUCGAGUUGUUUGGGAAUGCAGCUCAAAAUGGGUGGUGAAUUCCAUCUAAAGCUAAAUAUUGGCGAGAGACCGAUAGCGAACAAGUACCGUGAGGGAAAGAUGAAAAGCACUUUGGAAAGAGAGUGAAACAGUACGUGAAAUUGUUGAAAGGGAAGCGUUUGAAGUCAGUCAUGUUGUUUGGAAUUCAACCUGGCUUUUGCCUGGUGUACUUUCCAUAUGACAGGUCAGCAUCAGUUUCGAUCGAGGGAAAAAGGUGUGGGGAAUGUGGCUGUCUUUGGGCAGUGUUAUAGCCCCGCAUUGUAUACCUCGACUGGGACUGAGGAGUGCAGCGCGCCUAUUGGCCGGGGUUCGCGCCCCUCGGUACGCGCUU
Molecule: ribosomal RNA, 795 nt
Filed under: uncultured Sebacinales
Lineage: Eukaryota; Fungi; Basidiomycota; Agaricomycetes; Sebacinales
Description: eukaryotic LSU rRNA
Rfam family: Eukaryotic large subunit ribosomal RNA (bases 158-795)
Source: RNAcentral